RNAcentral lists this ribosomal RNA (253 nucleotides) under uncultured bacterium. RNAcentral describes it as "partial 16S ribosomal RNA". It matches the Rfam family "Bacterial small subunit ribosomal RNA", at positions 524 to 776 of the family's 1533-position model. The record is from RNAcentral.
UACGAAGGGGGCUAGCGUUGCUCGGAAUUACUGGGCGUAAAGCGCACGUAGGCGGCUUAUUAAGUCAGGGGUGAAAUCCUGGAGCUCAACUCCAGAACUGCCUUUGAUACUGGUGAGCUUGAGUCUGGGAGAGGUGAGUGGAACUGCGAGUGUAGAGGUGAAAUUCGUAGAUAUUCGCAAGAACACCAGUGGCGAAGGCGGCUCACUGGCCCGGUACUGACGCUGAGGUGCGAAAGCGUGGGGAGCAAACAGG